UUUCUUUCUCAUGUAGUGUGUGCCCAGGUGCAUCCAGUUUUUAAGAGUCUCCUGCCUUCUGACUCACUUCAUACAUAUGUCAUUAACCAGCUCUCCUCGCAUCUAAGUACUGAAACCUUAGAUCCCAUUUGUUGAAGUACCUCAAGGAGGUUACCCACAUCUCAAGGGAAGUCAUCUCCCAAGAGGGCUAUCUAAGCUUUGUCUUCAUUCUUGCCAUCUCCAUCAUGGUUGUCAUUGAAAUCUGCUCAGUAGAGAAGAGGAACCACAGUCAUAUGCCCAGCGUGGUUUUUACCUGCCUGAACACAGACCAAAAGCCUGCAGGAGCAUUUCCAAGCAUCUGAGCUCCUAAGAGGAAUGUUGGACCAGAUCCCAACAUACACAUUAAACUAACAGGACACGCUUCAUCCAAGACCUUCUUCUAUUUUUUUUUUCGUCCUCCUUACUUUUCUCUAGCUCCAUCUUCUUACUCACAUUUCAAGUUGGACUGUAUUGAGGACAGGAAGUCACUGUUGUUA
Long non-coding RNA from Camelus dromedarius (Arabian camel), 515 nucleotides. RefSeq lists it as uncharacterized. Lineage: Eukaryota; Metazoa; Chordata; Mammalia; Artiodactyla; Camelidae. The record is from RefSeq and is a predicted model, not a curated record. The transcript is spliced from 3 exons.